AAAUUGAAGAGUUUGAUCAUGGCUCAGAUUGAACGCUGGCGGCAGGCCUAACACAUGCAAGUCGAACGGUAACAGGAAGCAGCUUGCUGCUUUGCUGACGAGUGGCGGACGGGUGAGUAAUGUCUGGGAAACUGCCUGAUGGAGGGGGAUAACUACUGGAAACGGUAGCUAAUACCGCAUAACGUCGCAAGACCAAAGAGGGGGACCUUCGGGCCUCUUGCCAUCGGAUGUGCCCAGAUGGGAUUAGCUAGUAGGUGGGGUAAAGGCUCACCUAGGCGACGAUCCCUAGCUGGUCUGAGAGGAUGACCAGCCACACUGGAACUGAGACACGGUCCAGACUCCUACGGGAGGCAGCAGUGGGGAAUAUUGCACAAUGGGCGCAAGCCUGAUGCAGCCAUGCCGCGUGUAUGAAGAAGGCCUUCGGGUUGUAAAGUACUUUCAGCGGGGAGGAAGGGAGUAAAGUUAAUACCUUUGCUCAUUGAC
RNAcentral lists this ribosomal RNA (483 nucleotides) under Escherichia coli. RNAcentral describes it as "bacterial SSU rRNA". It matches the Rfam family "Bacterial small subunit ribosomal RNA", at positions 1 to 473 of the family's 1533-position model. The record is from RNAcentral. Lineage: Bacteria; Pseudomonadati; Pseudomonadota; Gammaproteobacteria; Enterobacterales; Enterobacteriaceae.